AGAAACAUCAGUGGCCAACAGAUCGCCAGAUCGUUGAGCUGCAUUGGCGGGAUUUCGCCGUCUUCGUUUCUCUUUCUUCGCGGACGAACACGCGCUGGGGCUGCAGGCUUGCAGAUCCCUGGUCCUUGACUGGAUAUGCGUUAGGGGCUUGUAGCUCAGUUGGUUAGAGCGCGCGCUUGAUAAGCGUGAGGUCGGAAGUUCAAGUCUUCCCAGGCCCACCACUUUCAUCGAGUGUGCAUUCGUCUUCUGGUUACGGGGCCAUAGCUCAGCUGGGAGAGCGCGUGCUUUGCAAGCAUGAGGUCGUCGGUUCGAUCCCGUCUGGCUCCACCAGAUGGUUUGAUCACCGAGAUCCUGUGCCGUCGUCCGCGAAACAUCACUUCGCACUUGCUAGUCCGGAUGGACAGUAAGCUGCGUGAUUUCUGACAUCGUAAAGAGGAGAUCGAUCCGAGUUGGAUCGUGCGGAGAAUAUCUGCGCGAGACUUCAUUAUCUCCGGAUCAUUUCGGCGCUCGCGCGCCUUUCAGUGUAGCUCACAAGGCUGCGUCUGAGAGAUGAGCGAGUUGUAAAUGAUCCUUUUAGCGAAGCUUGACCGCCUCGCUAUCGGAACGAUCUUACGAAGCAAGCUGGUCUUUCUAGUCAAUGUCCGGCUGCAGAUAGCGUUCAUCGAGGGCGCGUGCCGCAAGGUAAUUCUGCAGACAACAUUCUGCCGAGUGUGUGGACAUUGAUAAUGAGAGCAAUCAAGUGCCUUAAGGGUGUUCGGUGGAUGCCUUGGCGCUGAGAGGCGAUGAAGGACGUGCUACGCUGCGAUAAGCC
RNAcentral lists this unclassified non-coding RNA (811 nucleotides) under Bradyrhizobium liaoningense. RNAcentral describes it as "partial contains 16S-23S ribosomal RNA intergenic spacer and large subunit ribosomal RNA". The stretch from base 145 to 218 matches the Rfam family "tRNA". Lineage: Bacteria; Pseudomonadati; Pseudomonadota; Alphaproteobacteria; Hyphomicrobiales; Nitrobacteraceae. The record is from RNAcentral.